UAGGGAAUCUUCCACAAUGGGCGCAAGCCUGAUCCAGCCAUGCCGCGUGUCUGAAGAAGGCCUUCGGGUUGUAAAGGACUUUUGUCCGGGAGCAAAUGCCGGUGGCUAAUAUCCACUGGAGCUGAGAGUACCGGAAGAAUAAGCACCGGCUAAUUACGUGC
RNAcentral lists this ribosomal RNA (161 nucleotides) under uncultured bacterium. RNAcentral's name for it is "partial 16S ribosomal RNA". It matches the Rfam family "Bacterial small subunit ribosomal RNA", at positions 355 to 508 of the family's 1533-position model. The record is from RNAcentral.